RNAcentral lists this ribosomal RNA (253 nucleotides) under uncultured Rhodospirillaceae bacterium. RNAcentral's name for it is "partial 16S ribosomal RNA". It matches the Rfam family "Bacterial small subunit ribosomal RNA", at positions 524 to 776 of the family's 1533-position model. Lineage: Bacteria; Pseudomonadati; Pseudomonadota; Alphaproteobacteria; Rhodospirillales; Rhodospirillaceae. The record is from RNAcentral.
UACGGAGGGGGCUAGCGUUGUUCGGAAUUACUGGGCGUAAAGCGCGCGUAGGCGGUUAGCACAGUCAGGCGUGAAAUCCCCGGGCUCAACCCGGGAACUGCGCUUGAUACUGGCUGACUAGAGGUCGGGAGAGGGUAGUGGAAUUCCCAGUGUAGAGGUGAAAUUCGUAGAUAUUGGGAAGAACACCAGCGGCGAAGGCGGCUACCUGGACCGAUACUGACGCUGAGGUGCGAAAGCGUGGGGAGCAAACAGG